AAUGAACGCUGGCGGUAGGCCUAACACAUGCAAGUCGAGCGGACGCACAGUAAGCGCUUGCUCUUAAGGGUGGCGAGUGGCGGGCGGGUGACGAGUAGAUAGCAUUCUACUUAUUCGUGGGGGAUAACGGAGGACAAGUUACACUAACACAGCAUACAUCCAACCGCAGGGAGCAGUAGUGAAUCACAGUUUUGGCGACACAAAUAGACGAUGCCGGAUUAGAUAGUUGGCGGGGUAAAGGCACACCAAGGCAACGAUACGUAGCUGGUCUGAGAGGAUGAUCAGCCACACUGGAACUGAGACACGGUCCAGACUCCUACGGGAGGCAGCAGUGGGGAAUAUUCGACAAUGGGCGCAAGCCUGAUCGAGCCAUACCGCGUGAGUGAAGAAGGCCUUCGGGUUGUAAAGCCCUUUUGUUAGGAAAGAAAAAAAGCAGGUUAAUACCCCGAUGUUCUGACGGUACCUAAAGAGUAAGCAACGGCUAACUUCGUG
This 492-nucleotide ribosomal RNA is filed under the name uncultured bacterium. RNAcentral's name for it is "partial 16S ribosomal RNA". It matches the Rfam family "Bacterial small subunit ribosomal RNA", at positions 29 to 507 of the family's 1533-position model. The record is from RNAcentral.